Molecule: long non-coding RNA, 530 nt
Organism: Heterocephalus glaber (naked mole-rat)
Lineage: Eukaryota; Metazoa; Chordata; Mammalia; Rodentia; Bathyergidae
Source: Ensembl
CCUUGUUGGAAGAGGUGGAUCAUUUAUCUCCUUCCCCCCUGCUUCAAUCCCUUUCUCUACUUCCAGCUACCAUGCCAUGAGCUGGUUCUCCUCUGCUAUGCCACCCUGACUUGGAGCCAGCUGACUGUGGAUUAAAACCUCUACAAACUGUGGCCUUAACCUUGGAUCUGAGGACUGCCUCUUCUCAUUCCAUGCAAGGUCUUUGAAGCAAUUUGAAAGGUGCUUCCUCUAUUGAGUCUGCAGAACAGAGAAUAUCCAACUGUCCUCCCGAGUUCAGAAGAUAGAAAUCAAAUAAUUAGAAACAGGGGCCAUGCAGACGAUGAAAUGAAUGAAACCAUUUGGUUAUCAAAUGAUAUGGAGUGGUAGGAUCUUCCUGCAGUGAGCUAGAAAGUACACACUGCAUUUAAAUAAGAUAUUAGUCAGAGAGUACUAAAUAAUAUUUGCCCUUUAGGAAUAAAGAUCUUUUGCAUACAAAACAGCAGGCUUUUUGAGGUAGAACAGGAAAAAAAUAAAAACUAGCCAGAAAAGAG